UGGGUUGUAGCUCAACGGUGGAGUUCUCACCUGGCACGUGCAGGGGCUUGGGUUCAAUCCUCAGCACCACAU
RNAcentral lists this transfer RNA (72 nucleotides) under Marmota monax (woodchuck). Its description in RNAcentral is "tRNA.Ala". Lineage: Eukaryota; Metazoa; Chordata; Mammalia; Rodentia; Sciuridae. The record is from RNAcentral.